Molecule: ribosomal RNA, 421 nt
Filed under: uncultured bacterium
Lineage: Bacteria
Description: bacterial SSU rRNA
Rfam family: Bacterial small subunit ribosomal RNA
Source: RNAcentral
UGCCAGCAGCCGCGGUAAUACGAAGGGGGCUAGCGUUGUUCGGAAUUACUGGGCGUAAAGCGCGCGCAGGCGGUCUUCCAAGUCAGUGGUGAAAGCCCGGAGCUCAACUCCGGAACUGCCAUUGAAACUGUUAGACUUGAGGAUGAGAGAGGUGAGUGGAAUUCCCAGUGUAGAGGUGAAAUUCGUAGAUAUUGGGAAGAACACCGGUGGCGAAGGCGGCUCACUGGCUCAUUUCUGACGCUCAGGCGCGACAGCGUGGGGAUCAAACAGGAUUAGAUACCCUGGUAGUCCACGCCGUAAACGAUGAUUGCUAGCCGUUGGGCAGCUUGCUGUUCAGUGGCGCAGCUAACGCAUUAAGCAAUCCGCCUGGGGAGUACGGCCGCAAGGUUGAAACUCAAAGGAAUUGACGGGGGCCCGCAAG